GCCAGGAAGAGGAAGAAAGAAAAUAUCUAACAGCAGUGGGAAUGGGAACAUGGAGGAAAGCACAAUAACUGUCUCUUUUUCCUCUAGAAUUGGAUACAGACAUUUGUCUAUGUGUUUUCCUGAUGCCUCCCAUUCCUACAGUUCUUAGGUGCUCCUUCCUCUUCCUCUGACCU
RNAcentral lists this microRNA precursor (173 nucleotides) under Setaria italica (foxtail millet). Its description in RNAcentral is "MIR2118 microRNA precursor family". It matches the Rfam family "MIR2118 microRNA precursor family". Lineage: Eukaryota; Viridiplantae; Streptophyta; Magnoliopsida; Poales; Poaceae. The record is from Rfam by way of RNAcentral.